Molecule: ribosomal RNA, 407 nt
Filed under: uncultured soil bacterium
Lineage: Bacteria
Description: bacterial SSU rRNA
Rfam family: Bacterial small subunit ribosomal RNA
Source: RNAcentral
UGGGUUAAGUCCCGCAACGAGCGCAACCCCUGCUCUUAGUUGCCAUCAGGUUAUGCUGGGCACUCUAAGAGGACUGCCGGUGACAAACCGGAGGAAGGUGGGGAUGACGUCAAGUCCUCAUGGCCUUUAUGUCCAGGGCUACACACGUAAUACAAUGGCCGGUACAAAGAGUCGCAAACCCGCGAGGGGGAGCCAAUCUCAGAAAGCCGCUCUCAGUUCGGAUUGCAGUCUGCAACUCGACUGCAUGAAGCUGGAAUCGCUAGUAAUCGCUGAUCAGCAAGCAGUGGUGAAUACGUUCCCGGGCCUUGUACACACCGCCCGUCACAUCACGAAAGCCAGUUGUACUAGAAGCCGGUAAUUUAACCGCAAGGAGAUAGCCGUCCAAGGUAUGACUGGUGAUUGGGGUG